CCUACGGGGGGCAGCAGUGAGGAAUAUUGGUCAAUGGCCGGAAGGCUGAACCAGCCAUGCCGCGUGAAGGUCAGUGCCCUAUGGGCGUUAAACUUCUUUUGUGCGGGAGCAAUAAUGGUCACGUGUGGCCAGACGAGAGUACCGUACGAAUAAGCAUCGGCUAACUCCGUGCCAGCAGCCGCGGUAAUACGGGGGAUGCAAGCGUUAUCCGGAUUUAUUGGGUUUAAAGGGUGCGUAGGCUGUGAGGUAAGUCAGCGGUGAAAUGCCCCCGCUCAACGGGGUGAAGUGUCAUUGAUACUGCCUGGCUGGAAUGCGGAUGCCGUGGGAGGAAUGUGUGGUGUAGCGGUGAAAUGCAUAGAUAUCACACAGAACACCGAUUGCGAAGGCAUCUCACGAAUCCGCGAUUGACGCUGAUGCACGAAAGCGUGGGUAUCAAACAGGAUUAGAUACCCUGGUAGUC
This 460-nucleotide ribosomal RNA is filed under the name uncultured bacterium. Its description in RNAcentral is "partial 16S ribosomal RNA". It matches the Rfam family "Bacterial small subunit ribosomal RNA", at positions 338 to 795 of the family's 1533-position model. The record is from RNAcentral.